CCUACGGGAGGCAGCAGUGAGGAAUAUUGGUCAAUGGACGCAAGGCUGAACCAGCCAAGCCGCGUGCAGGAAGACGGCUCUAUGGGUUGUAAACCUCUUUUGUACGAGAGCAAACCCAGUUACGCGUGUCUGUCUGAGAGUAUCCGACGAAUAAGCAUCGGCUAACUCCGUGCCAGCAGCCGCGGUAAUACGGAGGAUGCGAGCGUUAUCCGGAUUUAUUGGGUUUAAAGGGUGCGCAGGCGGUGGUGCAAGUCAUCGGUCAAAUGGCGGGGCUCAACCCCGUACUGCCGUUGAAACGGCAUCCCUUGAGUGCGCGAGAAGUAUGCGGAAUGUGUGGUGUAGCGGUGAAAUGCAUAGAGAUCACGCAGAACUCCGAUUGCGAAGGCAGCAUACCGGCGCGCAACUGACGCUCAGGCACGAAAGCGUGGGUAUCGAACAGGAUUAGAUACCCUUGUAGUC
Molecule: ribosomal RNA, 459 nt
Filed under: uncultured bacterium
Lineage: Bacteria
Description: partial 16S ribosomal RNA
Rfam family: Bacterial small subunit ribosomal RNA
Source: RNAcentral